This 741-nucleotide ribosomal RNA is filed under the name uncultured bacterium. RNAcentral's name for it is "bacterial SSU rRNA". It matches the Rfam family "Bacterial small subunit ribosomal RNA", at positions 67 to 801 of the family's 1533-position model. The record is from RNAcentral.
CGGCAGCACGGGAGCAAUCCUGGUGGCGAGUGGCGAACGGGUGAGUAAUAUAUCGGAACGUGCCCAGUCGUGGGGGAUAACGCAGCGAAAGCUGUGCUAAUACCGCAUACGAUCUCUGGAUGAAAGCGGGGGACUCGCAAGGGCCUCGCGCGAUUGGAGCGGCCGAUAUCAGAUUAGCUAGUUGGUGGGGUAAAAGCCCACCAAGGCGACGAUCUGUAGCUGGUCUGAGAGGACGACCAGCCACACUGGAACUGAGACACGGUCCAGACUCCUACGGGAGGCAGCAGUGGGGAAUUUUGGACAAUGGGCGCAAGCCUGAUCCAGCAAUGCCGCGUGCAGGAUGAAGGCCUUCGGGUUGUAAACUGCUUUUGUACGGAACGAAACGGUCUACCCUAAUACGGUGGGCUAAUGACGGUACCGGAAGAAUAAGCACCGGCUAACUACGUGCCAGCAGCCGCGGUAAUACGUAGGGUGCGAGCGUUAAUCGGAAUUACUGGGCGUAAAGCGUGCGCAGGCGGUUAUAUAAGACAGAUGUGAAAUCCCCGGGCUCAACCUGGGACCUGCAUUUGUGACUGUAUAGCUAGAGUACGGUAGAGGGGGAUGGAAUUCCGCGUGUAGCAGUGAAAUGCGUAGAUAUGCGGAGGAGCACCGAUGGCGAAGGCAAUCCCCUGGACCUGUACUGACGCUCAUGCACGAAAGCGUGGGGAGCAAACAGGAUUAGAUACCCUGGUAGUCCACGCC